AUACUUACCUGGACGGGGUCGAUGGUCGAUCAAUAAGGUUCAUGGCCUAGGUCAGUGACAUCCAUUGCACUUAGGAUGGGUGCUGGCUUAAGGUCUCCCCAAGUUGGGAGAUCCUACGUCAAAAUUUGUGGUAGAGGGGGCUGCGCGAGUCGCGGCCCCUGC
This 162-nucleotide small nuclear RNA is filed under the name Salix viminalis (osier). It matches the Rfam family "U1 spliceosomal RNA". Rfam says of the family: U1 is a small nuclear RNA (snRNA) component of the spliceosome (involved in pre-mRNA splicing). Its 5' end forms complementary base pairs with the 5' splice junction, thus defining the 5' donor site of an intron. Lineage: Eukaryota; Viridiplantae; Streptophyta; Magnoliopsida; Malpighiales; Salicaceae. The record is from RNAcentral.